GAUUUGGGGAUACUGCCGGGGCGGCUGCUCCGGACACUGGCUCCUAGGGGUCCAAAUACACCGAAGUCUGUACGGAAAGGAGAAAUCACUCUGAAGAUUACAGGUUGGUUACAGGAAAAAGGAAGGCCUCUUUCCUUCCUGACAGUCUCACGUUAAGGUGCCGGAAAAAUCUAAUUUGAUGUUGAAUUCCCUAGUAACUGAGAUGAACAGGAAUUACGUCUCGAUAGUUAAAGGAUGUAUUCUGAUGUGCUUAUUCUUUGCCUUCAGUCCAAACCUCUGCUGUGGAUGUAGAGUGGAAUCUCCACCCAAGAAGGUGCAACUGUUCAAUGUCAAUCCUCCAGAAAUUUCCAAAUUUUUUGCAGAGGUCAUAGUACAUCUAUAAUCAGAAAUAAUCAAUGGACUAUUAAAAAGCAAUGUUGAAUCUUCAACAAUAUAAAAAUGUUAAGUAGAAAACAAAGGAUAAAAUACUAUUUUUAGCAUCACCUUAAUUAUAUUAAAAUAGUCACUGUUUUAGAAGAAAAUACACAGCACAUUAAUGUGCU
Kogia breviceps (pygmy sperm whale) is the source of this 542-nucleotide non-coding RNA. The record is from RefSeq and is a predicted model, not a curated record. NCBI's taxonomy places the organism in Eukaryota, Metazoa, Chordata, Mammalia, Artiodactyla, Physeteridae.